AGUACAGACGAGUUUGAUCCUGGCUCAGAACGAACGCUGGCGGCAGGCCUAACACAUGCAAGUCGAGCGCGCCCUUCGGGGUGAGCGGCGGACGGGUGAGUAACGCGUGGGAACGUACCCUUUGCUACGGAAUAGUCUCGGGAAACUGGGGGUAAUACCGUAUGAGCCCUUCGGGGGAAAGAUUUAUCGGCAAAGGAUCGGCCCGCGUUGGAUUAGGUAGUUGGUGGGGUAAUGGCCCACCAAGCCGACGAUCCAUAGCUGGUUUGAGAGGAUGAUCAGCCACACUGGGACUGAGACACGGCCCAGACUCCUACGGGAGGCAGCAGUGGGGAAUCUUAGACAAUGGGCGCAAGCCUGAUCUAGCCAUGCCGCGUGAGCGAUGAAGGCCUUAGGGUUGUAAAGCUCUUUCGUGGGGGAAGAUAAUGACUGUACCCCAAGAAGAAGCCCCGGCUAACUCCGUG
RNAcentral lists this ribosomal RNA (461 nucleotides) under uncultured bacterium. RNAcentral's name for it is "bacterial SSU rRNA". It matches the Rfam family "Bacterial small subunit ribosomal RNA", at positions 1 to 507 of the family's 1533-position model. The record is from RNAcentral.